CAAACCAGUGCUUGUCCUUACUUUUUGGUAUACAGCAGGAGCUUUGUGUGUACUUUGUUUUAGUACACUGAAUAUUAAAAGUCAAGAUUUAAUAAAAGUAAUAAACUUUACUACUUUAUAAGGACAUUAAGUGAAAUUGGCUUUUUUUCCCCUCAAACUGCGAAAGCAUGGUGGCGGUGAAUACAGUAACUGCUGGUACUUUGAUACCACAGUCUUGAUUUAUGUUUAGACGCCAGCAGUUUUACCCACCAUUGCUUUUGCAUCAGCCAUGCAAAUAUCAAAACAGUGAAAAUGGCAAAUAAUGUCUUAGUAUUAUCAUGGAAGUAGUUUUGACUAAAUGGACCCUCUAAAAGUGUCUCAACACUCUCCAGGGAUCCAUGGACCACACUUUGAGAACAGCUGUUCUAAGCCAUGAAACUAUAUCAAUUUAAAAAUUCUUGACUAUCAUGUCUCCUCAAAUUCUCUAUACAUCAUAAAGGCUAUUACAAUAGCCUAAUUAUAGAAAGCAGAACAUAAAAUACAUUUUAGGAAAGUUUGAUUAUAGAGCAAACAGUAGCAGUCCUACUUACCUUAGGAGAAGAAAUCUUUACAUAUACUAUAAUAGGGGCCAAGGAGGUUUUACUGAGUUGAGCUGGAUGAUUAAUUGUAUCCGCGUCAAGGACCACCAACUGCAAUGUUCUUGCAAGUUCAAAAAUCCUUUCGAUUUCACUCUGAACUUCCGCUGUAAAGGGCGAAACAAUUCAGUUAAAGUGCAGUAUUUUUAAGAUAAAGUAAAAUGGUAUACUGUUUCUUCAACAGAAAGGUGAGUAGGUCAGCCAUUAUGUUAAUGCUUACAGGCAAUAGAAUUGAUAAAAAUUUACAACAGUAAUUUAUCCUUUUGGAAAGGGCUGUUUCUCCACACAUCAUUAGGAUUUAAGGAAUUUUUCUGUCAACCGGCUACAGAAUUUACUUUUAGUAUAAUACUUGGAUUGUGGAAAUUUUUAGCUCUCUGCUGACAUUCUUUGUGCUUGCAGUCUAUGAAAUCAUUUCAUAAAACUGCUGUAAAAUAAGAACCUUGACAUAUCUUCCGUGUGUUCAUUGCAGACCACUUUGCAUUAGCAACCAUGACAGGUUUUCCUUUCAGUGCACGGGCUGAUCUAUGUUUACAUGUCACCUGUAUGCCGUCUAGAUGUUUAUUAACAAGAUGAAAUACAAAAUAAAACAGCAAAGACGUGAAUGGCACCAGAAAGAAACUUAUCCAAAAACACACCUCAUAUUUUCCAACCAAAGUAGUCAUGUUUUAAAAGGGCAGUUUUCAGAGGCAGCACUACAGAAAUCUAAAGUAUAAAAUUUAUAGAAACUUAUCACAAAACAUUAGAAUAUCUAGUUGAACUCCGAGAAAAUGGCAUUCAGUUCAUCUGUUCUGUGAUCUCCAAAGACUCAAAAACCGGACUGUCUGACCGAAUUUUCUGCAAUGAGGGAAAUAUUCUCUGUAUGUGGUCCAGCGUGGCAGCAGCUAAUGGGCUACUGAGCACUUGAACAGGCGUGUAAAUUUUUAAAAUUUAAUAAAUAGGCAGAAGCUACUAUUACUAGGCAGCAUAGGUCUAUAAAGCAUAGUACAUAGCUUUCACUUCCCACUGCAGUCGUGGAGGUUGAAUUCCAUGAGACUUUUAUGCUAGCAAAUGUGGAUUUACAAUUACCUUUUAAUUCCUCUUAGGCCGUUGGAUUCUUGCCAGAAGCUUCCUGGAGAUAAUUUUAACUAGUACCUUAUUGAAGAAAAGUUGUCCUAGCUAAUGAAAGAAUGCAGCUCAGCAUCUUGAAGACGGGGCAAGCCUUCCUCAUCUCCCCACAUCCCACAGUUUCUUAUACCCACUGAAUUAAACUGAAAAAUGAA
Molecule: long non-coding RNA, 1873 nt
Organism: Homo sapiens (human)
Lineage: Eukaryota; Metazoa; Chordata; Mammalia; Primates; Hominidae
Exons: 2
Source: RefSeq, a predicted model, not a curated record